AGCUCCAAUAGCGUAUAUUAAAGUUGUUGCAGUUAAAAAGCUCGUAGUUGGAUUUCUGGUUUGGGUGUCCGGUCCGCUCGUAACUUGUUUGCGAGUGCGUACUAUGGAUGUUCGGACCAUUUUUUGUGAGGAACUUUACCUGUCAUUAAGUUGAUGGGUUUAGGGACUUGCAUCGUUUACUGUGAAAAAAUUAGAGUGUU
This 200-nucleotide ribosomal RNA is filed under the name uncultured eukaryote. RNAcentral's name for it is "partial 18S ribosomal RNA". It matches the Rfam family "Eukaryotic small subunit ribosomal RNA", at positions 587 to 775 of the family's 1831-position model. The record is from RNAcentral.